AUUUCUGUGAAGUUUUGCGGUUGGCAAACGCAAAGGAUUGCAACAGAACGUGCGGCCUCUCACGCCGAAAACGGGGGUUCGACUCCCCCUGGGGAUACCA
Molecule: transfer RNA, 100 nt
Filed under: Rhodospirillaceae bacterium
Lineage: Bacteria; Pseudomonadati; Pseudomonadota; Alphaproteobacteria; Rhodospirillales; Rhodospirillaceae
Description: tRNA-Glu
Source: RNAcentral